AACAUGCAUGUGCCACAGAAACUGUCACAUCAACGUUAGCUUGAAUCAUUUAACGGUUUCCUCUCACAAAACAGACAGCACGUAAGCAUUUCUG
Long non-coding RNA from Sinocyclocheilus anshuiensis, 94 nucleotides. RefSeq lists it as uncharacterized. The transcript has 3 exons. NCBI's taxonomy places the organism in Eukaryota, Metazoa, Chordata, Actinopteri, Cypriniformes, Cyprinidae. The record is from RefSeq and is a predicted model, not a curated record.